Small nuclear RNA from Tachyglossus aculeatus (Australian echidna), 103 nucleotides. The record is from RefSeq and is a predicted model, not a curated record. NCBI's taxonomy places the organism in Eukaryota, Metazoa, Chordata, Mammalia, Monotremata, Tachyglossidae.
GUGCUUUGGCAGCACAUAUACUAAAAUUUGGAAGAUACAGAGAAGAUUAACAUGGCCUCUGCACAAGGAUGACAUGCAAAUCUGUGAAGUGUUCAAUAUUUUU